GUAUAAGAGACAGCAGUAGCCACGGGAAUACAGAGGGUGCGAGCGUUAAUCGGAUUUACUGGGCGUAAAGCGUGCGUAGGCGGCUUCUUAAGUCGGAUGUGAAAUCCCUGAGCUUAACUUAGGAAUUGCAUUCGAUACUGGGAAGCUAGAGUAUGGGAGAGGAUGGUAGAAUUCCAGGUGUAGCGGUGAAAUGCGUAGAGAUCUGGAGGAAUACCGAUGGCGAAGGCAGCCAUCUGGCCUAAUACUGACGCUGAGGUACGAAAGCAUGGGGAGCAAACAGGAUUAGAUACCCCCGUAGUCCCUGUCUCUUAUAC
RNAcentral lists this ribosomal RNA (314 nucleotides) under uncultured bacterium. Its description in RNAcentral is "partial 16S ribosomal RNA". It matches the Rfam family "Bacterial small subunit ribosomal RNA", at positions 495 to 807 of the family's 1533-position model. The record is from RNAcentral.